GUCCACGCCGUAACGAUGAUUACUCGCUGUUGGCGAUACACAGUCAGCGGCUAAGCAAAGCAAUAAGUAAUCCACCUGGGGAGUACGGCCGCAAGGUUGAAACUCAAAGGAAUUGACGGGGCCCGCACAAGCGGAGGAACAUGUGGUUUAAUUCGAUGAUACGCGAGGAACCUUACCUGGGCUUAAAUGUAGAGUGCAUUUUUUAGAGAUAGAAAUUCCCUUCGGGGCUUUCUGCAAGGUGCUGCAUGGUUGUCGU
This 256-nucleotide ribosomal RNA is filed under the name uncultured bacterium. Its description in RNAcentral is "partial 16S ribosomal RNA". It matches the Rfam family "Bacterial small subunit ribosomal RNA", at positions 793 to 1055 of the family's 1533-position model. The record is from RNAcentral.